CCUACGGGGGGCAGCAGUGGGGAAUAUUGCACAAUGGGGGAAACCCUGAUGCAGCAACGCCGCGUGAGUGAAGGAGUAUUUCGGUAUGUAAAGCUCUAUCAGCAGGGAAGAAGAUGACGGUACCUGUGUAAGAAGCCCCGGCUAACUACGUGCCAGCAGCCGCGGUAAUACGUAGGGGGCAAGCGUUAUCCGGAUUUACUGGGUGUAAAGGGAGCGCAGACGGUGAGACAAGUCUGAAGUGAAAGCCCGGGGCUCAACCCCGGGACGGCAUUGGAAACUGCCUGACUGGAGUGAUGGAGAGGGAAGCGGAAUUCCUGGUGUAGCGGUGAAAUGCGUAGAUAUUAGGAAGAACACCAGUGGCGAAGGCGGGUUGCUGGACAGUAACUGACGUUGAGGCUCGAAAGCGUGGGGAGCAAACAGGAUUAGAUACCCGAGUAGUC
This 440-nucleotide ribosomal RNA is filed under the name uncultured bacterium. RNAcentral describes it as "partial 16S ribosomal RNA". It matches the Rfam family "Bacterial small subunit ribosomal RNA", at positions 338 to 795 of the family's 1533-position model. The record is from RNAcentral.